AGGGUUUGAUCCUGGCUCAGGAUGAACGCUGGCGGUAUGCCUAACACAUGCAAGUCGUACGAGAGUUUUUAACUCAAGUGGCGGACGGGUGAGUAACACGUGAGAAUUUACCUUUAGGAGGGGGACAACAACUGGAAACGGUUGCUAAUACCCCAUAUGCUUUCGAGUGAAAUGAAUUUAUUCGCCUAAAGAGAAGCUCGCGGCUGAUUAGCUUGUUGGUAGGGUAAGAGCCUACCAAGGCGACGAUCAGUAUCUGGUUUGAGAGGACGAUCAGACACACUGGAACUGAGACACGGUCCAGACUCCUACGGGAGGCAGCAGUGGGGAAUUUUCCGCAAUGGGCGAAAGCCUGACGGAGCAAUACCGCGUGAGGGAAGACGGCCUAUGGGUUGUAAACCUCUUUUUUCAGGGAGGAAUAAAUGACGUGUACCUGAAGAAUAAGCAUCGGCUAACUCCGUGCCAGCAGCCGCGGUAAGACGGAGGAUGCAAGUGUUAUCCGGAAUCACUGGGCGUAAAGCGUCUGUAGGUUGUUAAACAAGUCAACUGUUAA
RNAcentral lists this ribosomal RNA (550 nucleotides) under uncultured marine microorganism. RNAcentral's name for it is "bacterial SSU rRNA". It matches the Rfam family "Bacterial small subunit ribosomal RNA", at positions 8 to 598 of the family's 1533-position model. The record is from RNAcentral.